UGCUAAGAAGACAUGCUGCUGUCCUGUAAGGGGUGGGGCGGGGAAGGCAACACCCUUUCCUGGGCAUCUCCAAUAUGCCAGGCGUUGUGCUCCUUCUUGUCUUAUAGACCAUGUCCUUCAAUUUAAUCCAAAUCCCACAGCCUUGGAGGAAGGACAUGCUCUCUCCGUACAGGAGAUGGAACAAAGCUUGGGGAAUUCAAGUGGUUUAUCUAAGAUCACAGAACUUGUAGGUGGUGGAACCAGGAUUGAACUCUGUUCUAUCUAACAUCCAAGUUGUUGCUCUCUCCACUAUGCCAGGCCCCUUUGAAAUCUCAGCGGCCAAGACCGUUUCCCCUGUGUCCCUUCAUGCCCCACGGGGUGGACUCAGAGGGACAUUUCAGAUGUUAUUUCCAACUCUCUUCCCCCACCCCCUUCCCCUUGGUGAACUGCUAAGACUCUGUGGUCUCUGAGGGGCCAAGGUAGGACUUGACAGGUGGUGAGUCCUGUGGUGCUGGCCAUCAUGCUCAUUUCAAGCCGAAAGAAAAAAGAAACCCCCCUCCCCCAAACUGUCUCUUCCUGGUCUCUUUAUGCAUCUCACCCAUUACAACUGCUCUGAAUCAUCAUACACGUGCUGAUCCUCAUUUGCAUUCAACAUCUCCGCUGGAGCUCCAGGGCAGGGCCCAAUUGAGUAGUUCGACUUCUGAGUUUGCACUGAGGAAGCUCUGCUCCUCCUGACCCUCCUAGCGCAAGGGUCCCCCCUGCAGGGGCCCAGAUGAAGGCCAGGAGGGGACAGCCUGCAUCUGCCCAGGGACCCUGCGGCCCCAGACAUGCUGCUGUAGCUCUGUUGCUGCCCUGGGCGCUCAGGGCGUGAGUGAUAUGUUUCCUAAUCCCCAAAUCCUCCGUCUUAUUUUCCUGGGAAAUUUGGAUUUUCUCUGUGGCUUCAGUGAGGAGCUAUUUCUAGAGAGGAAUCAGAAUCACUGGGGUGAAAUCAUCACUAGACUGUGUCAACAGGGGACUGCUUGCCAGUCAUCCUGAGGCAGGAGACAGAUGGGCCCCCGGAGCAAACAGUUGGCACUGGUUCUCUGCGGACCGAUACUCUGAGACUAAAAUAGCAGGACAAUUGAGGGAGGAGGUGGGGCCCUGCCCAGACAGACGGUAAGAGACCACGUGUGCCUCUUUCUCAAAGUCAGGAGACCUUCUCGACUACACAUGCGCAGACAGGCUCCUCAGAGGUCAAAAAAGGAGGGGGCGCCACCCCAUAGUAAGUGAUGCUAACUACUCACAGGCCUCUUGAGUGGAAUCCGUCUUGGUAAGAAAUGCGUGUGCACACAUGGGAGGGUCCUGAGAUAAACCAAAUAGGGACUCUGAACCAGGCAAAGCAAAAUGAUUGGCCAAAGGAAAUCUCGGAGAAACACGUCCACCACGAGUCUGGCUGAGUUCUCGGAGCUGAGGACCACAUGAUAAACAAGCAAGUUCCCUGUCCAGCUGGAGAGACACUCAGGUUGAACUCUCCCGGAGCAGGUGUCUUAGUUUCUGUGGGCAUACAGUUCACCUGGGCAUCUUGUUAAAAUCCAGCAGCGAAGCUUCAAAGUUUCAGAAAAGAAGGGAUGUGGUUAGUGGGAGCUGAUGAUUUUUUAAUCUUAGCAAGCUCUGGAAAGCCUGGCUCUGCAAUCGCAUUGACCUUGAGAUGAUUUCCCGCGGCCAGAAAGAAGCCCAUCAUUUAUUUAUUAACCCUCCAGAAGGUCUGCACACAAUCCCCUGUGGCCAGGCAGAAAGAAUAUUAUGGGUCAAAUGCCAUUACAGAAAGCCCCAGAGAGAAAAGACCAAACUAUUUGGCCAUGUGGGCAUUUGGGCUGGAGAGCAGCAGUUUGUACACGGCCGUGCUGCGACAUGUUACUCCGCACACAGUGCCACAUGGCCACUCAACGGCCUUCCAAAAUCAGCAGCAGAA
Molecule: long non-coding RNA, 1930 nt
Organism: Bubalus bubalis (water buffalo)
Lineage: Eukaryota; Metazoa; Chordata; Mammalia; Artiodactyla; Bovidae
Exons: 4
Source: RefSeq, a predicted model, not a curated record